GUUUCCCCUAGAGUUUCCCGGAACACUUCAUUAAGGGUCCAUUAUUAUAUCAAAAGUUGGUCCAUGCUGAAGUGUUUGGGGGAACUCCUGGUGGCAC
MicroRNA precursor from Lupinus angustifolius (narrow-leaved blue lupine), 97 nucleotides. It matches the Rfam family "mir-395 microRNA precursor family". From Rfam's summary of the family: mir-395 was identified in both Arabidopsis thaliana and Oryza sativa computationally and was later experimentally verified. mir-395 is thought to target mRNAs coding for ATP sulphurylases. The mature sequence is excised from the 3' arm of the hairpin. NCBI's taxonomy places the organism in Eukaryota, Viridiplantae, Streptophyta, Magnoliopsida, Fabales, Fabaceae. The record is from Rfam.